RNAcentral lists this unclassified non-coding RNA (227 nucleotides) under uncultured Russula. Its description in RNAcentral is "sequence contains ITS2". Lineage: Eukaryota; Fungi; Basidiomycota; Agaricomycetes; Russulales; Russulaceae. The record is from RNAcentral.
AUGUUCUCAACCUUAUUGGUUUCUCGAUCAAGAAGGCUUUGGACUUUGGAGGUCUUUGCCGGCUUUGUGAAAAGUCGGCUCCUCUUAAAUGCAUUAGUGGGGUCCCCUUUGCCGAUCUCUAGGCGUUGAUAAUACACUUCUACGUCUUGGGAUUUGCUCUGUUCUUUGGGAACCUGCUUCUAACCGACUCCGUCGGAGACAUCGUUCGAGCUUGCUCGACACACGAA